UUCUGCAAAACCAUUUCCCUCUAGGAAUUGAAGUGCGUGGUGGCUGCAUGCAGAAAAUAUGAUAAGCAUGAUCACAGCCAUCACAAAGUACAAUUUUCUCAUCAUCACAAUCUUUAAGGCAAGCUCUACACAGACACGACGGACAGUAAUCACAAAGUACAAUUUUGUCAUCAUCACAAUCUUUAAGGCAAGCUCUACACAGGCACGACGGACAGUACCAGCAGGAGCCAUAAGUAUCCAACUGCUUUUUAGUCAAGCACCUCUCAUGGUAAAAUUUGUGA
RNAcentral lists this long non-coding RNA (281 nucleotides) under Nicotiana benthamiana. Its description in RNAcentral is "long non-coding RNA (NBEN_LNC014814)". Lineage: Eukaryota; Viridiplantae; Streptophyta; Magnoliopsida; Solanales; Solanaceae. The record is from RNAcentral.